UUCGUAGUCGGGAUAUUAAGUCAGUUGUGAAAUCCUACAGCUUAACUGUAGAACUGCCAUUGAUACUGAUAUUCUUGAAUUCACCUGAAGUAGGCGGAACAUGACAUGUAGCGGUGAAAUGCUUAGAUAUGUCAUAGAACACCGAUUGCGAAGGCAGCUUACUAAAGUGAUAUUGACGCUAAGGAACGAAAGCGUGGGGAGCGAACAGGAUUAGAUACCCUGGUAGUCC
This 229-nucleotide ribosomal RNA is filed under the name uncultured bacterium. RNAcentral's name for it is "partial 16S ribosomal RNA". It matches the Rfam family "Bacterial small subunit ribosomal RNA", at positions 568 to 796 of the family's 1533-position model. The record is from RNAcentral.